CCUACGGGGGGCAGCAGUGGGGAAUAUUGCACAAUGGGCGCAAGCCUGAUGCAGCCAUGCCGCGUGUGUGAAGAAGGCCUUCGGGUUGUAAAGCACUUUCAGCGGGGAGGAAGGCGGUGAGGUUAAUAACCUCAUCGAUUGACGUUACCCGCAGAAGAAGCACCGGCUAACUCCGUGCCAGCAGCCGCGGUAAUACGGAGGGUGCAAGCGUUAAUCGGACUUACUGGGCGUAAAGCGCACGCAGGCGGUCUGUCAAGUCGGAUGUGAAAUCCCCGGGCUCAACCUGGGAACUGCAUUCGAAACUGGCAGGCUAGAGUCUUGUAGAGGGGGGUAGAAUUCCAGGUGUAGCGGUGAAAUGCGUAGAGAUCUGGAGGAAUACCGGUGGCGAAGGCGGCCCCCUGGACAAAGACUGACGCUCAGGUGCGAAAGCGUGGGGAGCAAACAGGAUUAGAUACCCGGGUAGUC
RNAcentral lists this ribosomal RNA (465 nucleotides) under uncultured Klebsiella sp. RNAcentral's name for it is "bacterial SSU rRNA". It matches the Rfam family "Bacterial small subunit ribosomal RNA", at positions 338 to 795 of the family's 1533-position model. The record is from RNAcentral. Lineage: Bacteria; Pseudomonadati; Pseudomonadota; Gammaproteobacteria; Enterobacterales; Enterobacteriaceae.